RNAcentral lists this ribosomal RNA (458 nucleotides) under uncultured bacterium. Its description in RNAcentral is "partial 16S ribosomal RNA". It matches the Rfam family "Bacterial small subunit ribosomal RNA", at positions 338 to 795 of the family's 1533-position model. The record is from RNAcentral.
CCUACGCGCGGCAGCAGUGAGGAAUAUUGGUCAAUGGCCGGAAGGCUGAACCAGCCAUGCCGCGUGAAGGUCAGUGCCCUAUGGGCGUUACACUUCUUUUGUGCGGGAGCAAUAAUGGUCACGUGUGGCCAGACGAGAGUACCGUACGAAUACGCAUCGGCUAACUCCGUGCCAGCAGCCGCGGUAACACGGGGGAUGCGAGCGUUAUCGGGAUUUAUUGGGUUUAAAGGGUGCGUAGGCGGUAGUUUAAGUUAGUGGUAAAACGUCGGGGCUUCACCUUGAUUGGCGAUUAAAACUGGAGUACUAGAGGACAGACGAGGUAGGUGGAAUAAGUUAAGUAGCGGUGAAAUGCUUAGAUAUAAGGUAGAACCCCGAUAGCGAAGGCAGCUUACCAGACUGUUACUGACGCUGAAGCACGAGAGCGUGGGUAGCGAACAGGAUUAGAUACCCUUGGAGUC